AACAGUCGACUCACUGUAGUGAAGACACUGCGGUCAUUCAUUACUUUGUUUGUAAAGUGCAUUAGGAAAAUCCAAGAUGGUGCCACUCAUUGAUUGGGUAACAGGAAAAUUAUAAGCCCAAAUUGGCAAAUGAACACGGAUAUGUUCAGUUAAUGUGCUUACAACAUGGAGACCUUAGAUUGUUAACUUUACAAAGGAGGAAUUUUUGAGGAUUCAUUAUUUAUUGAUCAU
Molecule: long non-coding RNA, 231 nt
Organism: Trachemys scripta elegans
Lineage: Eukaryota; Metazoa; Chordata; Testudines; Emydidae
Exons: 2
Source: RefSeq, a predicted model, not a curated record